Long non-coding RNA from Helianthus annuus (common sunflower), 558 nucleotides. RefSeq lists it as uncharacterized. The record is from RefSeq and is a predicted model, not a curated record. The transcript has 2 exons. NCBI's taxonomy places the organism in Eukaryota, Viridiplantae, Streptophyta, Magnoliopsida, Asterales, Asteraceae.
UUAUCUUCUGGUAUUGACGAAAUCAGGCCUCCUGAUAUCACAAAAUCAUCAGUGAGUGGUAUUUAAUCAUAAAUUCAUUUCAUCAAUAUUCUUCUCAACUUUUUCCGAGUCGUUAUGAUCAGAAACUAGUUCUGGUUUUAUUUCAGUCUUUGGAUUUUUUCAUCAUGCAGGAUGUUGAAGAACGAUCGUUGCCUGUUCAGAGGAUUUCGCUAUCAUCAUCCAGGGUGUUGAAGAGCGAUCUCGUUUCAGUUUUUGAAAGAGAUACUAUAGCUAUCAUCCUGGUGCAUCGGACGCUGAAGGUGAUGCAGGGCAUCUGUGAAACUGCAGGUGGCCGGUACAAGCUAAACCAUUAAUACAAAGAAUAGGAGAAAGCUUCAAGUGGUCCAUACAAGCUAAACCAUGUAAUGAAUAUAAGCCUGAAACUUAUCAAAUUAGCAAUUUGUAUAGCUCAUAUAAGGGUGUUAACAACUUAACAUUCUAUGUUACUCUAUUUUUUAGGAUCUGGAUCCAAAGUAGAGUGAGUCUCCUACAAUUGUGCAGUUCUGGGACGAGUCACAC